GUGCUUAACACAUGCAAGUCAAGGGGGCCCGCAAGGGCAACCGGCGAACGGGUGCGUAACACGUGAGGGACCUGCCUGGAAAUGGGGGAUAGCCGGCCCAACGGCCGGGUAAUACCGCAUACGCUCAUCGAGGGGCAUUCCUUGGUGAGGAAACUUUCGAGGUUUUCAGCGGGGCUCGCGGCCUAUCAGCUAGUUGGCGGGGUAACGGCCCACCAAGGCGACGACGGGUAGCUGGUCUGAGAGGAUGGCCAGCCACAUUGGGACUGAGAGACGGCCCAG
This 279-nucleotide ribosomal RNA is filed under the name uncultured bacterium. Its description in RNAcentral is "partial 16S ribosomal RNA". It matches the Rfam family "Bacterial small subunit ribosomal RNA", at positions 44 to 334 of the family's 1533-position model. The record is from RNAcentral.